Xiphophorus couchianus (Monterrey platyfish) is the source of this 4664-nucleotide long non-coding RNA. RefSeq lists it as uncharacterized. The record is from RefSeq and is a predicted model, not a curated record. The transcript is spliced from 2 exons. NCBI's taxonomy places the organism in Eukaryota, Metazoa, Chordata, Actinopteri, Cyprinodontiformes, Poeciliidae.
CAGGAUGUUUAUACAACAAAAUGUAAACAUUUUCCCGGACCUUCUUUAAAUAAGAAAAUCAGGCAAAAGCCUGGUUAGAUCUGCUAAUACCACACAAACUAAUGAGAUAUGGCAAGAAAAAAACGCGCGUCGUCCUUACGGCAGGCUACAUGUUGGACUUUUUUCUCCCCCUCUCUCUUCUUUUACAAAUGUAUAUUGUUUGUGCAAUACAGUCAUAAUAUUUACGCAGGGACGCGGGAGGAGUGAGGUGGAGACUCAGCCGAGCUGGGAGCGCACAAACUCGGACGGAGGACUUGAGAUCGACUCCUGCAGGGGAGAGAAAUCACGGCGCGAUCCGGGAUCCGAGGCUCGAGUGGGCAGGCGUGCGGCUUUGGCCACAAGAAGCUGUGAAUUCUUCGGAGAAUGGAAGAUGUCUCACGGGGAGAUGUGCUGCACCCCCGCCACCCACACGCCACCCCAAGAUGACCCCUGACCCUUUCUCGUGUUUAUAUCAGGCCAUGGAAGUGACAAAUAGUGAUGAGUCACUCUUGCCGAGUGUUUACACUCCGGAGUCACGCAAGGAAGGAAAUCAGCCACGGUCUGCUAAAAGUGGCGAGGUGAGAGAGAGGAGCUGCUGUGAUUUACCUCUCAGAGUCGUUAUUUGUUUCACAUCACCUCUGCUGAGCAAAUGAUCUUCCAACAGAAAGCAGCAGAAAAAGCUGAGGAUUGUAGUCGAGGAAAGCAAAGACUGCUUGGGGCAGAGCAUGUAAUCGCUGCAGGGGUAGGUGUGCUUCUGUUUCCCAGCUUCAAACAAGCUCUUUUCAGAAACUUUGAUGGAAUCUGAAUAUUAGUUAAUGCAUUCUAUGAGAUUUUAUUAGAAAUGUUCACAUUCUAAUAUGUUUCUCUGAAUCAGGGAUCAGUUAAAAUUGUCUCGAUAAACAUUUUCUAUCUUUUGUAAACGACUCAUUCCAACUUAAACUACAGAUGGUUUGUAAACUUUUUAUAAAAUAAAAUUUAUGAAAAGUGGGAUGCAUUUGUAUUCAGACUUCUGACUCAGAACUCAAAACUACCUUUUUCUGAAAUUACAACUGCACAAUCUCAGUCAGAUUGGAUGGAGCCCUGUGUGACUAUCUCUUUUUAAAUCUUGCCACAAAUUCUCAAUUUGAUUGAAGUGUGACUUUGAGCUCUUGUGAUGCUGUUUGGAUUCGUUGUCCUGCUGUAAAGUGAACCUCUAUCCCAGUCAAAAGUCUUUGGUGGCCUCUUACUGCACAUUUAUCUCCAUCCAUCUUUCCAUCAACUCUCAGAAAUGUACACCUUUCUUGUGGAUAAAAGCAAAGUACGAAGCAAACCAUCAUUCUUCUUCGCAUGUUCAGGGUGACAGUUUCCCUCCACAAACUGCGUUGGCCUAAAACUGUCCUAACACUGCCAAAACUAAAGUCACGAGUGUUCAUAUCCAACACACAGGAAUGUGUUCUUUGAUUUUUACCAGUACAGUUAUUAUUAUUUUUUAUAAUCCUACCUUCCAUAGGUAUACAGUAAUUCAGCCAUUUCUCUGUUAUAAUUAGGUUUUGAUAAUAUUUAAAAUACAUACUAUGUAAAUGAAAAGCUAAAGUGUAUCAGCUGUACAUUUUUGAAAAGCUGUAUUUUCUCAAUUUUUGGUUAUAAUCUGCAUGUCAGUCAGGUUUGUAAUCAGUCAUUGUUAUCAAUUCACUGACUAAAAUUAAAGGUUUAGGUCUUGAUUGUUAAUAUGCAAAGAAAUUUGUGCACAAACCAAUCUAACAGUUUUAACGACACAUUGUUAGCGUUAUUUUCUUGCAUGUUAAAUACUGGGACAUUAGUUUAUUUUGAGGUGUUUGUAUGCUUAGAAUGAUAGAAUAAUAUAAUGUAAAUUACACUGUCAUAUAUGAUGAUGUACCUAAAUCAAAAGUGACACCUAACACCAAAGGGCUGCACAUCCCUGUGUUUACUGUGCCUUCCUCUGCUUUUUCAAACAUUAAGCGUCAUUGUUGUGCUGAAGGUUGAGUGACUUUACAGUACGGAUUGCACAGCUGUUGUUUUCCAGACGCGGCUUCACUUGGUGCUGUUGUGUCCUGUAAAAUUAAAGUGAUGCUUUUUACUCUUUCCAUCACCACUUUGGUGCGAGUAGCUUCGCUGCAGACUGCAGCCGGUGUCCUUUUACACACCAGCAUACACACCGCCACAAUGAGAGAGUGAAACCACUCUUAUUUUGGCCAAUCUCUCCUGAAUUGUAAGUCCUGUCAGGAGCCUUGAUUGAUUGUUGUGUUUAUCACCAUGUUAUUAAGAAAUCAGGCUCACCGCAGCCAGGCCUGAAGUUCCUUAAUUCCAACUUUGUGCUAAUUAAAGGUUUGCUGCACAGGUUUAGUUUUCUCAUUUUCUUUUCUUUAAAUAUAGACGUCUUUUUUUUUUUUUAAGCGAGCAUAUUGUUGCAUUUUUUGCACUGCCUGGACCAUCUAGUACCAAGUGCAGUGUGGUAGUCUGUGGUACAAACAGAAAAUCCUCAUUUUUACACUGCAUAGUUAAUGAGUUCAUGCCUGUAGAUCAGCAGAGAUCCAGACUCGCGUUGUUAAUAGAGCUGGCAGCAGGCUGCGUUUGUGUAUCUCUGAGGUAAACACAGUUAUGGCAAAGUGGACUCUCUGCUCAGUGUGUCCUGAACGGAGACACAGAGCGCUAUGGCACUGUACUUUUUGUCGCACUGGCGGCUCUUUAGACAUGGGGUUAAUGUGAUGAAUGGCCAUUUGGUAAUGGGCCAUGUAUUAGGCUGAAACGACUCUUUUAAAAGCCACAGUUUGAGCCUUCGCCAUGGGCAGUUUGGAUCAGCAAUCACUCAGGUGGCAGAUGUUUGGUGUUGGACUGAGCAACUCUACCCUGCUUUCUGUCUUUUCGACUUCCUCAACUAAAAACAGGCAUAAUGCCGUCUAAAGCAGCAAAAUUGUGAAAACAAAACAAAACGCAUAUUUGUGCAAAUGACAAAUGAUUUUCAUAUGUGAAGAUCAUUUUUUUUAAAUCUAAUAUUGUGGUGUGCAUUUGUAUUCAACCCAUUUUAAUUUUUUUGGCCCCCUAAAAAACCCAGUGCACAUCAGGAAACACCUAAUUAGUAAAUGUUCAAUCUGUAUGUAAUUGAAUCUCUGAAUUAAUCCAGCUGUUCUGCAAAGGCCUCAGAGGUUUGGAAAUCCUGGAAAAGUUAAAGGUGUUAGUUAAAGGAGCUGCAGAGAUCCAAGUAAAUCUGUUGACAGGAACACUGCAGCUGAAGCACUUCACACACCUGGCCUCCCUGGAAGAGUGACGCUGAACUGUUAAAGCAAAGCCAAAUGAGGUUUCAUUUACAGUAUCCCAUAAACCAUGGAGGGGACACAGAAAACGAAACCAAUCGUUUUGGCCAACAUGCAAAAGACUGUGUGGAGGGAAAAUAAUACAUGUCGCAACCCCAUGAAAUAUGGUCGUGGCAGCAUCAUGCUGAGGGGACACUUUUCUUCUUAGGACUGUGAAGCUGGUCUGAGUUAAAGUAAAGGUAAAUGGAGAUAAAUACAGGCUAAAGUAGAGACUGGAGUGGAGGUUUAUCUUUCAGCAGGACAACAACCGUAAACACAGCUAGUGUCUUCGGCCAGUCUAGAGUAAGGGUCCUCAACCUGCGGCUCCAGAGCCGCAAGUAGCUCUUUGGACCUUCCACAAUGGUUAUUUAAAACUUUAGCAAAAAAAAAAAAAGAUUAGUAACUAAUGUUUCUAAAUACUCAUAUAUUAACAAAUGCAUGUUUCAGUAGUUUUUCCAGUUUUUUCAUGGAAUAAUUGCAUUGAAAUUCUACAACAGAAUGGAACUAAAAGUCACAUUCUUUUUGUCAUUGACUAGGAAACUAUUAUUUUACAUAGCUGUAUAACAUCCAAUAGAAAAAACAGUUUUCAAGUUUGAAUUUGCUUUAAAGUCUAAAAAUAGAAAUAGCAUUGUGGUUCUUUAAUAAUAACAUCAGAUUUUCCAUAGUAAAUAUUUAUCAAAAUAUUUUCAAAACUUUAUUUAACAUUUGCUGCUCUAAACAAGUUUUAUCUAGCUGGGCAAAGGGCAAAAAUUGCUCUUUGAAUUGUUAGGGUUGCACACCCCCGGCCUGGAACAACAUUUCUUGUAAAACAUUUUAUAAGACCCGUAAAUCAAUGUUCACAGCUGCUCUCCAUCCAGUCUGGUUGAACUUAAGCUAUUUUACAAAUAAGAAUUGAUUAAAAAUCUGUCUCCAGAGGAACAAAGCUAAAGAAGAUAUUCCCAGCUGUAUGGCAGCUGUAACUCCAGCUAACGCUGUUCCUACACAGUGUUGAGUCAGAAAAGCUAAAUACAAAUGCAGACCAAUAGUUCACAGUUUUAUUUGUAAAAUAAAUAUAUUCAAGCCAUGUAUAAUUUUCAUCCACUUUACCAUAAUGCAGUACUGUGUCACAAGAAAUCCCAAUAAAAUACACUGAAGUUUGUCUCUAAUCCAAUCAUGAAAUAUGUCAAAUAAGUAUUAUUACUUUUUAAGGUUCUGUAAAUGUGUGUACCGUUAUUUAUGAGAGUUUCUUCUACAGCCAUUCUUGCUGCUCAUUCCUGUAUUGCAAUUUUUUGACUUCUGUUUUUAUAUCACUGACUUUGCCUUUAAUGAAACUAUGAAAUGUUAUGAACAUGUUUACAAUAAACUUUCACAAAUCAA